RNAcentral lists this ribosomal RNA (439 nucleotides) under uncultured bacterium. RNAcentral describes it as "partial 16S ribosomal RNA". It matches the Rfam family "Bacterial small subunit ribosomal RNA", at positions 338 to 795 of the family's 1533-position model. The record is from RNAcentral.
CCUACGGGAGGCAGCAGUGGGGAAUAUUGCACAAUGGGGGAAACCCUGAUGCAGCAACGCCGCGUGAGUGAAGAAGUAUUUCGGUAUGUAAAGCUCUAUCAGCAGGGAAGAAGAUGACGGUACCUGAGUAAGAAGCCCCGGCUAACUACGUGCCAGCAGCCGCGGUAAUACGUAGGGGGCAAGCGUUAUCCGGAUUUACUGGGUGUAAAGGGAGCGUAGACGGUGAGACAAGUCUGAAGUGAAAGCCCGGGGCUCAACCCCGCUCCGCCGUUGAAACUGUGUCCCUUGAGUGCGCGAAGGGUAGGCGGAAUGCGUGGUGUAGCGGUGAAAUGCAUAGAUAUCACGCAGAACUCCGAUCGCGAAGGCAGCCUACCGGCGCGCAACUGACGCUCAUGCACGAAAGCGUGGGUAUCGAACAGGAUUAGAUACCCUUGUAGUC